CGUUACGGCACACCGGCCUGAGUACGCCUGAUCUCGUCCGAUCUCGGAAGCUAAGCAGGGUCGGGCCUGGUUAGUACUUGGAUGGGAGACCGCCUGGGAAUACCAGGUGCUGUAAGCU
Molecule: ribosomal RNA, 118 nt
Filed under: Oncorhynchus mykiss (rainbow trout)
Lineage: Eukaryota; Metazoa; Chordata; Actinopteri; Salmoniformes; Salmonidae
Source: RNAcentral